Xenopus laevis (African clawed frog) is the source of this 5485-nucleotide RNA transcript. It is a transcript of the gene named formin-like protein 3, with no coding region annotated. The record is from RefSeq and is a predicted model, not a curated record. NCBI's taxonomy places the organism in Eukaryota, Metazoa, Chordata, Amphibia, Anura, Pipidae. The transcript is spliced from 28 exons.
GGCUGGGGUGAAUGGAGCUGAGCUUAGUGUGGGUUACGAGGCGGGACUCGCUAGUACAAAGGAUGGGUCCCGGGGACUUUGUAUUGGAGUAGCGGGGACGCGCACUGGAGGAGGGGGGGACACCCGAUAUUUCGGGGUUGGAGCACCGGGAGGAUGGGGAACGUGGAGAGCGCGGGGGGGACCCCGGGUACAACUCUGCUGCCGCUGAAAGUCCCGAUGCCGGAGCCGGGAGAGUUGGAGGAAAGAUUCGCCAUGGUCCUGAGCUCCAUGAACCUUCCUCCAGAUAAGGCACGGCUCCUGCGGCAAUAUGAUAACGAAAAGAAGUGGGAUCUUAUCUGUGACCAGGAGCGAUUUCAAGUGAAAAAUCCACCGCAUACUUAUAUCCAGAAACUACAGUCUUUUUUAGACCCUGGCGUAACACGAAAGAAAUUUAGAAGGCGAGUACAAGAAUCCACUAAAGUUCUUCGUGAGUUGGAAAUCUCUCUCCGGACCAAUCAUAUUGGGUGGGUCCGGGAGUUUCUGAACAAUGACAACAAAGGCCUGGAUGUGCUGGUGGAGUACCUCUCUUUUGCACAGUGCGCAGUCAUGUUUGAUUUUGAGGGCCUGGAAAAUGGGGAGGAAGGCUUGGUAGAAAAGUCCAAACCAUGGAGCAGAUCCAUCGAGGAUCUGCAGCAUCCCAACUCCCUGCCUACCCCUUUCACCAACGGCCUCGCUCGCUCUGCCCGCCAGUCUGUGCUCCGCAGCUACAACACUUUACCUGGCAAAAAGGCACUGAAGAACUCAAGGCUGGUCAGCCAAAAGGAUGAUGUUCAUGUGUGCAUCAUGUGCCUGAGGGCUAUCAUGAACUAUCAGUAUGGCUUUAAUUUAGUAAUGUCCCAUCCUCAUGCCGUGAAUGAAAUUGCUCUCAGUUUAAACAACAAGAAUCCAAGAACCAAAGCUUUAGUACUGGAACUCUUAGCUGCUGUGUGCUUGGUCCGAGGAGGCCAUGAAAUCAUCCUCUCGGCUUUUGACAAUUUCAAAGAGGUCUGCAAGGAAACGCAUCGUUUUGAGAAACUCAUGGAGUAUUUCAGAAAUGAAGACAGCAAUAUUGACUUCAUGGUUGCUUGCAUGCAGUUUAUUAACAUCGUUGUUCACUCAGUGGAGGAUAUGAAUUUUCGUGUCCAUCUGCAGUUUGAGUUUACAAAGUUGGGCCUUGAAGAUUUUUUGGAGAAGGCCAAGCACACGGAAAGUGAGAAGCUGCUUGUGCAGAUCCAGGCUUAUCUGGACAACGUGUUUGAUGUUGGUGGCCUGCUAGAAGAUGCUGAGACCAAGAACGUUGCACUUGAGAAGGUGGAGGAGCUGGAGGAUCAAUUGUCCCAUAUGACUGAAAAGUUACUGGACCUGGAGAAUGAGAACAUAAUGCGGGUGGCAGAAUUGGAGAAAACUCUUCUAUACAGGGAAAAGGAACUGGCAGUUCUCAAGGAAACUUAUGAGAACGCAAAUCAUCAGGUGCACACACUAAGGAGAAUUAUCAAGGAGAAGGAAGAGGCAUUUCAACAUCUCCGACAGCUUGACCAGGCCAAUUCUUCCAAGCCUGCUGGGACUGUACUUCCAAUUCCAGCGGCCCCCAGUGGAGACAUAUUUUUGUCUGCUGAACUUCUACCACCCCCUGCCUCUGCCUCUGUUCCUGCGCCACCCCCACCUCCUCCACCUCCUCCUCCACCACCACCACCACCUCCUCCAAUGCCAAGCAAGUGCCCUCCUCCACCACCAUUACCAUCCUCUUCGCCAUCUGUAAUACUUACCACCGGCUUAUCAGCAAUCCGAAUUAAAAAACCAAUCAAAACUAAGUUCCGCCUGCCGGUGUUUAACUGGACAGCGCUGAAGCCCAAUCAGAUCAAUGGAACGGUGUUCAGUGACCUUGAUGAUGAGCGGAUAUUGCAGGAUUUGGAUAUGGAUAAGUUUGAAGAACUAUUUAAGACAAAAGCACAAGGACCUGCUGUAGACGUAACCUGCUCCAAAAACAAAACAUCACAGAGAUCUGCCAGCAAAGUGACUCUACUUGAAGCAAACCGAGCCAAAAACCUUGCUAUCACCCUACGGAAAGCUGGAAGGUCCAGUGAGGAGAUCUGCAAAGCCAUCCAAACGUUUGACUUGCGGGCGCUGCCUGUGGACUUUGUGGAGUGUCUUGUGCGUUUUCUGCCCACAGAAGCAGAGGUGAAGCUGCUGCGUCAGUACGAGAGGGAGCGUAAGCCUCUAGAUGACUUGUCUAAUGAGGACCGUUUCAUGAUGCUCUUCAGUAAAGUGGAACGUCUUUCCCAGCGCAUGUCCAUCAUGACCUUCUUAGGCAACUUCAAUGAGAACCUGCAGCUGCUUACCCCACAACUAAAUGCAGUGAUUGCAGCGUCUGUCUCUGUAAAGUCAUCCCCAAAGCUAAAACAAAUGCUCGAAAUUAUACUUGCUUUGGGUAAUUAUAUGAACAGCAGUAAAAGAGGGUCUGUGUAUGGCUUCAAACUACAGAGCUUGGAUCUGCUCCAAGACACAAAAUCAACUGACCGAAAGCUCACACUCCUAAAUUAUAUUGCGCUUAUUGCCAAGGAGAAAUACUCUGAUGUGGCCACUUUCUAUAAUGAACUUCAUUUUGUGGAAAAAGCAGCAGCAGUGUCUUUGGAGAAUGUCUUGCUGGAUGUGAAGGAGUUGGGUAAAGGAAUGGAUCUGAUUCGGAAAGAGAGCCAUCACCAUGAUAACACUGUCCUAAGGAACUUUGUGAGCUCAAAUGAAGGAAAACUAGACAAGCUUCAGAAAGAUGCUCGAACUGUUGAGGAAGUAUAUGCAGCUGUGGUGCUCUAUUUUGGAGAGAGUCCAAAGACAACUCCACCUUCUGUUUUCUUUCCUGUAUUUGCACGUUUCAUCAAAUCAUACAAGGAAGCUGAGCUGGAGAAUGAGAUGCGCAAGAAGCAAGAAGAGGUCCUACGAGAGAAGAUGCUAGCGCAAGAAGCAAAGAAACUGGACCCCAAGUCCCCAGUGCAGAAAAAUAAACGGCAGCAGCAAGAUCUGAUUGCAGAGCUGCGCAGAAGGCAGGUGAAAGAUCACCGGCCCGUUUAUGAAGGGAAGGAUGGAACUAUUGAGGACAUUAUCACAGUCUUGAAGAGUGUCCCUUUCACAGCCAGAACAGCCAAGCGGGGCUCUCGGUUCUUCUGUGAUACAUCCCUAUUUGAGGAUUCAAACUGUUAAACCCCAAUGCCUUAACUCGUAUGAAAAGAACCCAGGAAGAAUCAUCUCUAAUUUCCCUCCUUUUGCAGUGGACCUCCGCAAUCAGCCGUUUAGGCGCGCAGAUGCAGUUCUCCGGAAUGCCUGGAGGCAAAUCUAGUACGUACAAGAGCAGAAGUCUUUUGGGCUUCACUACAGUCUCAUCUUAGUGCCUUGGGCCUAUAAUUGAGAUGGACUUAUCAGAUGUCUCUGCACUCCUCCCUCCAUUCCAUGUUUUAAAGGAAAUGAAGAAUCCAGGACACUUUAUGAAGUGCCUUAAAUUUCAGUAUUACUGGACUAUUGUUUCUUUUACUAUUUAUAUAUUUUUAUUGUUUUUUUACUGUGUAAAUAUUUUUGUAACGUUCUUCAUCCAACCAGUAUGUACCCGCUGCUGUGGCAGAACUGGCUGCAAAAGAAGAAAAAGAAGUGCCUUGAAAGUGUUUUGUUUUUUUGUAUAGAGUUUUUAUAUGAAAGUGAUAGACUCAACACUAAAAUUAUAUAAGACUGAAGUCUUCCGCAUUGAAAAGGGCUUGGAAAUGAAAGCCUGUGUUUGGGUUAACUUUAAUAGAGAUAUUAUUUAUCUUCUGUACUUGCUGUAUGGAUGGUAAAUUAAAGGGAAAGUGCCAAAUUUAGUAGACUGCUUUAGAAAGUUGUUAGGAAGACAAGUUUCUGUGCAAGCAAAACGAGUUCCUUGGUGGAAUGCUACCAUGGCUAGAGAACACACUGCUACAUAUAGCCUGUAGCGGUUCUUAUGCCGUCUCACCUCUGUUAUGGCACUGGGAAACCCUCCGCUAAUACUGUUUUCUGCUCACUGACCUUAAUUGGGACUCAGUAGCUUGUUCUUUUUUGUUUAUAUCCUGUAAAAUGUGUUUUAUUUUGUGUUUUAUUUCAUUAAUGUAAGCGGAUUUGAGCUUUGCAGUAGUUUCUCCCAGUUCCACCAGUGUCCAUUGUGAAAUGACUGGGCCAUAGGCAUAGCCAUCUAAUAUGCAGGGUCACUAGAGGAAAGAUGUUGCUGGCUGAACAACAAAGGGAUAUCGUAUAGAUGUAUAGUUGUGCGUGGCACAGUUUUUCCUUGCUUAUUGGCCAUGCCCCCAUCAUUCCUAUGUGCCACAAAGGCCUAUGAAUAUUAAACAGGCAUCAGCAUUUCCAUCUUGAAUUCUAUUUCCGUUCAUAUUUGACCAAAAUGGAUGGGGACACCUGAAAUGGAACACACAUCAGCCCAACGGACCUGCUUCAUAGCGACUUAUUGAGAGAAGACCAAAUAAUUCAUCCUAUUUGGUAGAGGUGAGGAGGCUUAUUUAAAAAAAUAUUCCGUGACCAAUCUAAGUCCUUCGUACUGGAAAUCUUGGUUAUGCCGUGACCAACAUGUCCUGACUGCUCAACUGAGCCAAGUCUGGGCCUUCCAUUCCUGUAGGGUUUAUAAAUGAACUGGUGAUUAGGUUCCUGUCAGUGUCUUCCAUUUAGCCUCAUGGGCCUAUGUUUUAAAUGACCAGAUAGAGUGGCACUGCUUAAGCACCUUGGGAUAUUCUCUGUGCUCUUGAGGACCAUAUGAAUACUGUCUUACCAAAUACUUUUUAUAUUAUUAUGCACCUUUAUCCCAAGCCAAGUAACAGAGGUUCCUGACAAGCAGUAAAUACACUAAAGUAAUGGUGUCACACGCCAAGUAUUCUUUACAGUUACAAGAGUAGUUCCCCUUGAAUUUGCAAUAAGCGAUUACAGUCCCCUAGUACUUUUAUUUUUAUUUAUGCCAAGGCUCUCGUAGUCAGAGCUGAGAGCUUGCUCUUGCAAGAAUAUGAGCCCUUUUUAAGAUGACAUUUUAUAUUCCUAUACAAGCGUAUUCCUCCACUACAGCAAGUCUGAUAUUGUAACUUAUUAUUGGCUGCUCAGCAAUCAUUUAACUUGGUCUCAGUAACAGACCCCCAUUCCAAUGGGCAAAGUUUAAAUUCCAGUUUUUUAUUCUACAGUCAUCCCUUUCAGUUAUUUUCUAUAUCAUUUACAGUUUAACUUGUAAGCAUUCCAUUGUAUCGCCUUCAUGUAACUUUUGUGCAUGUAAAAUACAUUCCUGACUUGGCAGAUACCAGGGAGCGGCUGUAGCUUUUUCCAGUGUAUUAAUCCUGUACAGUAUAUUAUUGCUAAUAUAAAGCCAGUACUUGUUUGCUACGGGCUGUUUUCUUGUCUCAUUGUCAGAUUACGAGAAAAUUGUUCUUGCUUUCUUUCAUUGUCUCGUCAACAAUAAACUUGGAGAGCUUAACUUGCA